RNAcentral lists this transfer RNA (86 nucleotides) under Saccharospirillum salsuginis. RNAcentral describes it as "tRNA-Glu". The record is from RNAcentral. Lineage: Bacteria; Pseudomonadati; Pseudomonadota; Gammaproteobacteria; Oceanospirillales; Saccharospirillaceae.
CGCUGUGGUGGCGCAUGGUGUUUUCGCGUUCUUCGCGCGCGACGGUGGCGGUUAGCCGAUCGCCGAUCUUGACGGCGCCGUUCCGG